UUAGUUGAAGCCAAAUAGAGGCAUAUCACUGUUAAUGAUAACAUUGAAAUAUUAUUUCCAACUAAA
This 66-nucleotide transfer RNA is filed under the name Sympetrum eroticum. RNAcentral describes it as "tRNA-Asn". RNAcentral also lists the same sequence under 1 other name. The record is from RNAcentral. Lineage: Eukaryota; Metazoa; Arthropoda; Insecta; Odonata; Libellulidae.